CCCUUAGAUGUUCUGGGCCGCACGCGUGCUACACUGAGUGGAUCAGCGGGUCAGGUUGCGCGAAAGUGUUUCCUAAUCUUCAAAUCCGCUCGUGAUGGGGAUUGACGGUUGCAAUUUUCCGUCAUGAACGAGGAAUACCUUGUAAGCGCGGGUCAUCAUCCCGCGCUGAAUACGUCCCUGCCCUUUGUACACACCGCCCGUCGCUCCUACCGAUUGAGUGGUCCGGUGAGGCUUUGGGAUCUGAGCGGAAAGAGCGUUUCGCUGUUUCUGCCCGGAAAACUCAGUCGAACCUUAUCAUUUAGAGGAAGGAGAAGUCGUAACA
This 322-nucleotide ribosomal RNA is filed under the name uncultured eukaryote. Its description in RNAcentral is "partial 18S ribosomal RNA". It matches the Rfam family "Eukaryotic small subunit ribosomal RNA", at positions 1470 to 1796 of the family's 1831-position model. The record is from RNAcentral.